Molecule: ribosomal RNA, 438 nt
Filed under: uncultured bacterium
Lineage: Bacteria
Description: bacterial SSU rRNA
Rfam family: Bacterial small subunit ribosomal RNA
Source: RNAcentral
GCAAAACGCGAAGAACCUUACCCACCUUUGACAUGUACGGAAUCCUUUAGAGAUAGAGGAGUGCUCGAAAGAGAGCCGUAACACAGGUGUUGCAUGGCUGUCGUCAGCUCGUGUCGUGAGAUGUUGGGUUAAGUCCCGCAACGAGCGCAACCCUUGCCAUUAGUUGCUACAUUUAGUUGAGCACUCUAAUGGGACUGCCGGUGACAAACCGGAGGAAGGUGGGGAUGACGUCAAGUCCUCAUGGCCCUUAUAGGUGGGGCUACACACGUCAUACAAUGGCUGGUACAAAGGGUUGCCAACCCGCGAGGGGGAGCUAAUCCCAUAAAGCCAGUCGUAGUCCGGAUCGCAGUCUGCAACUCGACUGCGUGAAGUCGGAAUCGCUAGUAAUCGUGGAUCAGAAUGUCACGGUGAAUACGUUCCCGGGUCUUGUACACACCG